AUACUUGCAUCUUGCUUGUGGCAUUCCAUAUACAUUUCUGUUUAAGAAACAUCUGCUCAGAAUCUACUUUGUACAGAGAGUGCCCCCACAAAGAUGAACAAACCAUGGCUCUUGAUCUCCAAAAAGUGUAUAAACUAGUGGGGCAUAAUAAUAAAAGUCACAAUAAUACAUAUACUGAGGUACAGACAUAUUUCCUUGACGCUCUAUUGCAUUUUCCUGAACAUGCUCUAGCUUAAUUCAAUUCCUUCAAAAAGCUCUUGAGUUCUCCCACACCAAAUGAGGGAAAUGAGCAACAGAGGCAUUGUGUGACUUGCCCAGAGUCACACAGCUAGUCAAGUGACAGGGUAGAUUCAAACCCAGGCUAUAUUGCUUCUGAGUCAAAGUGUAGUCAUCAGUUCGUGCAUUUCAGGGAGUCUGAAGAGGUGACUUCAAUGACUUAAAUAUCACAAAAAAUAAAUUUUGGACUUUACUAGGCUCUUAAUUGGUUUUACUUGGUUUUCUUUGAAGUUUUUUUUGUUUUGUUUUGUUUUGUUUUAACCUAGACAGUGACUCAGUGAGUAAAAUUCUGGCAGCAGUCUGAAUGAGGGAUGUUAUGGAGACAUCAAAGGCAGGGAAAUCAGAAUAGUCCAGGAAAAAGACAACAAAUGCCUGAACAAGGAUAGGAGUUUUGGAUGGGGGAGAUAGAGAUUAGAGAAAGGAUUAGGUAAAGAAAAUUGACAUCAUGUUGACAUGCUAAGGUUGAGGGGUAAGUUUAGGACAAAGAGAGUGUGACUGUUUUCUAGUUGUGUAAGCAGAAGUUUGGAACCUUUCACAAAAAUAGGAAAGAUGGGAUGAAGAGUGACUUCGGAGGGGAAAAGGUAACAAGCCCAGUUUUAUAAUGUAAAAUUUGAGAUGUUCUGAUGACCUGAUUCCAUUCAUGGGAAGCUAGUUUCUCCAGUCAUUUCAUGUAUUCCUCAUAUGAAGUCAUUGAGUAUACUCAUCAUUCAAAAGACAUAAAUAUAGAAAUAUGUUAUUUUCUGAGACAAGUUAUAAACUGAGACAGAGUACCUAUUUUUAAAAUCACUAUUGUAAAAUAAUUUACUCCAUAGCCACACACACUUACUCUUUAUUUUUAUACUAAAGGUAAUAGAAGAAAACCAACUCCAAAAAACAUCAUUUUUCUCUGCAAUGCUGAAACAUUAACAAAAAUGAGCUAAAAUGCAAUUUAAAAUAUUUUUGAACUUUUUCUUUGCAAGUGUUUCUAUUAAAAAUUAAAUAUUAAAUAUUUUUGUCACAAAAACAUGGGCGAACAAGAACUAAGCAUGAAGUGUUUAGUGAUGUCUAUAACUUUAAGAUUGCUCUUGGCCAAGAUCAAAAUUGCUUAAAAAUUUAUUACUUAAAGAAGUCUAUUUUCUUAAGUAAUAAAUAUAAGAUAUUGAAUAAUCUUUACAUUACUGAAAAAAACUUAGAUAUUUCAAUUCAAAUAUUUUAAUUGUAAGAGACAAGCAUAUUUUAAAGACAUGUUCUCAAGGAAAUACAGAACUUUAAAUUGUUAUCAACAUUCUUCCUUUGGGUACCACUGAGAUAUGUCUAGUCUUUUGAAGGUAUAACAAUCACUUAAAGCUUGAUUCUGGCUGAGUAUAACACAUGGAAAUUAAGUCAUUUUAAGCUGCCUACCUGAUUGUGGUUUUAAUACACUAGUAUAAACAUUCAUCCUUCAGUGCGAGAUCUUAUCGUAUCCAUGAUUAUUUCUAUCUUGGGUCUGUCUGUAAGGUGCCAAAUUAAACAGGAUUUCCUUGAAAGAUUCUUGAUCAGGUUGAAGUUGGCUAUGGCAAGUAUUUUCUGUGAAGACCUGGGUUUAGCUCUAGCUUUUAUCGUGAAUAGAUUCUUUAACCUCUUUGGGGACCAGUCUGCCCAUUGUAGUGUGGAAAUAACAAUGCCUGCCUUGUUCAUAGUGAGUUCUUAAGGCCAUUGAAAUACACAUGUCAGAACUGUUGGGUUUUCAAUAUCUUUAAUAUUCAAUUCCUCAAGUAUAGAAAAUUAGUACACGAUUUAAAUGAAGACCUCCAUGGAUGAAUUUAUGGUGCCCACAGAGACUGGCACAAGAAACAUAUCGCAGUUUUUGAACCCGCUUCAUGAAGCCUUUGUGAGACUGAUUCCUUACAUGAGUGUUGGAAGCGUGAUUGAGUUCUAAGUGUUUGGCCAGCUUUUUAACCAUAUCUUUAAAUACCAUCAUUCCUCACACAUCCUUUGACUUUUCUCAACUGUGGAAAUUUUGUCAACAUUUUGUUAAUUUAGGUAGUUCCUCAUUCCUUCCUAUCACUCCCAUUGCGAAAAGUCCAUGUGGGUCCAUUCGUGAGAACUUCAAUAGGAUUACAACUUACCAGAUACAUUAUUUUUCACCGCAAGUCAAUUUUAGUCAAACCUACAUUUAACAGUGUACAAUUGGCAAAAGGGCU
Molecule: long non-coding RNA, 2438 nt
Filed under: Sus scrofa (pig)
Lineage: Eukaryota; Metazoa; Chordata; Mammalia; Artiodactyla; Suidae
Description: lncRNA (ENSSSCG00065007740.1)
Source: RNAcentral